GACAGAGGGGGCAAGCGUCGCUCGGAAUCACUGGGCGUAAAGCGCACGUAGGCGGCUUGGUAUGUCGGGUGUGAAAUCCCCGGGCUCAACCUGGGAACUGCAUCCGAAACUGCCUCGCUCGAGUAUGGGAGAGGGAAGUGGAAUUUCCGGUGUAGCGGUGAAAUGCGUAGAUAUCGGAAGGAACAUCAGUGGCGAAGGCGACUUCCUGGACCAAUACUGACGCUCAGGUGCGAAAGCGUGGGGAGCAAACAGG
This 253-nucleotide ribosomal RNA is filed under the name uncultured bacterium. RNAcentral describes it as "partial 16S ribosomal RNA". It matches the Rfam family "Bacterial small subunit ribosomal RNA", at positions 524 to 776 of the family's 1533-position model. The record is from RNAcentral.